CCUACGGGUGGCAGCAGUGGGGAAUAUUGCGCACUGGGGGCAACCCUGACGCAGCAACGCCGCGUGAUUGAAGAAGGCUUUCGGGUUGUACACUUCUUUUAUCAGGGACGAGGCACGUGACGGUACCUGAUGACUAAGCCACGGCUAACUACGUGCCAGCAGCCGCGGUAAUACGUAGGUGGCAAGCGUUAUCCGGAUUUACUGGGUGUAAAGGGCGUGUAGGCGGGAGUGCAAGUCAGAUGUGAAAACUAUGGGCUCAACCCAUAGCCUGCAUUUGAAACUGUACUUCUUGAGUGCUGGAGAGGCAAUCGGAAUUCCGUGUGUAGCGGUGAAAUGCGUAGAUAUACGGAGGAACACCAGUGGCGAAGGCGGAUUGCUGGACAGUAACGGACGCUGAGGCGCGAAAGCGUGGGGAGCAAACAGGAUUAGAUACCCGAGUAGUC
Molecule: ribosomal RNA, 443 nt
Filed under: uncultured bacterium
Lineage: Bacteria
Description: partial 16S ribosomal RNA
Rfam family: Bacterial small subunit ribosomal RNA
Source: RNAcentral